Molecule: non-coding RNA, 21 nt
Filed under: Caenorhabditis elegans
Lineage: Eukaryota; Metazoa; Nematoda; Chromadorea; Rhabditida; Rhabditidae
Source: RNAcentral
UCCUGCUAGGUCAUUUUUUAA